This 367-nucleotide ribosomal RNA is filed under the name Bacteroidota bacterium. Its description in RNAcentral is "bacterial SSU rRNA". It matches the Rfam family "Bacterial small subunit ribosomal RNA", at positions 1 to 360 of the family's 1533-position model. Lineage: Bacteria; Pseudomonadati; Bacteroidota. The record is from RNAcentral.
UUUAUACUAUGAAGAGUUUGAUCCUGGCUCAGGAUGAACGCUAGCGGCAGGCUUAACACAUGCAAGUCGAGGGGCAGCACGAGUAGCAAUAUUUGGUGGCGACCGGCGCACGGGUGAGUAACGCGUAUGUAAUCUACCUUUAACUGGGGCAUAGCUCCGAGAAAUCGGAAUUAAUUCCCCAUAAUAUUGAUGAAAGACAUCUUUUAUUUAUUAAAGUUCCAACGGUUAGAGAUGAGCAUGCGUGCCAUUAGCUUGUUGGUAGGGUAACGGCCUACCAAGGCUACGAUGGCUAGGGGGUCUGAGAGGAUGAUCCCCCACACUGGUACUGAGACACGGACCAGACUCCUACGGGAGGCAGCAGUGAGGA